AGUUCAGUGAUGUCUGAUCUUCAGUAUCUUCCACCUCCUGCUCUCUGAUGCCGUUGAAAGCUUGAUAGAAAGUCACAUCAUCCCAUUCAGUGGUGGUGAUCUCGUUGUUCCGCAUCCCAGCAAAGGCAUAGAUCAGGAUUCUCUUGGAAAUUUAAAAUGAUGAAAGAAGAAUGGAAGAGCCUAGGGGCGUAAUGCGAAGGCUAUCAGAUCCAGAGAGAAGAAGAAAUCAGCUAGUGAUCAAGCCUGUGACCUAGAAUCUGGCAAUCAGUGUGAGUCCUGGAUUUCAAAGUAAGCAGCGUAAGAGAUGGCCGUAUGCGAGAGAAUCCACCUUCUAGGAAGUGCCAUGGUGGACGUGACUUGUUCUUCCAGGGCAGCAAUGUUCAAGAAAGCCUUCUAAACAAGGUCUCUGAACAGCAGGCAGACCAAAGAUGAGUGUCUCCUGAACAAGUGACAUAUGGAGGAGAUGGGGAAAAGUCAUCACUCACCAGGACAUCUGGGGGAAUCUCAUAGUCAGACUGGAUGUUGGAGAUGCCAGCAGCUACCGUGGUGGUGACCAUCAGCCUGGGCUUGUUAAUCUGCUUGGCUUAUUCAUAAGCUUCACAUGUCUCCUGUACAUAGGAGAAAGUCUAUGAACAUCAACUCUUGAGUUGAUUUCCAUGACCACUCUUUGAAUUAAAUUAAUCUUUCCCAUUC
Herpailurus yagouaroundi (jaguarundi) is the source of this 693-nucleotide long non-coding RNA. RefSeq lists it as uncharacterized. The record is from RefSeq and is a predicted model, not a curated record. NCBI's taxonomy places the organism in Eukaryota, Metazoa, Chordata, Mammalia, Carnivora, Felidae. The transcript has 5 exons.